GGCGUUUAUCGGGAGAGGGCUCUGUCUGGCGUGCUCCAGUUGUUGGCACUAAACGGCAACUUGUAAGCGGCGUCGGCCGUGCUGUGUGUGUGUGCGCAACUUUGUGGAGAUUGAGGAGUGUGGUGUCUGCUCUCUGCCCUCACCGCAAGAUGGUGACUGUGUUGGGCUGUGGGUUAAGCUCUCGUCGCUCGGUUGUUGAGGCCACAGUUGGUGCCUCCUCUUUCUCGUGCGCCUUGUGUGGAGCAGCGUUGCGCCAUCCGGUGACUGUGUUGGGCUGUGA
Non-coding RNA from Epinephelus lanceolatus (giant grouper), 280 nucleotides. Lineage: Eukaryota; Metazoa; Chordata; Actinopteri; Perciformes; Serranidae. The record is from RefSeq and is a predicted model, not a curated record.